Molecule: small nucleolar RNA, 82 nt
Organism: Engraulis encrasicolus (European anchovy)
Lineage: Eukaryota; Metazoa; Chordata; Actinopteri; Clupeiformes; Engraulidae
Product: small nucleolar RNA SNORD53/SNORD92
Exons: 1
Source: RefSeq, a predicted model, not a curated record
ACAACGUGAUGAUGCUUGAGAAUGGUUUCGCUUUUUUCACUGAUAUCUUGUGAUGCCACACUUCUCUUGGCUGUCUGAUUCG